This 372-nucleotide long non-coding RNA is filed under the name Homo sapiens (human). RNAcentral's name for it is "HSALNT0322326". The record is from RNAcentral. Lineage: Eukaryota; Metazoa; Chordata; Mammalia; Primates; Hominidae.
AUUCAUCAGCGAGAGGGGACCUGAAAGCAGGUCGCCAUCUGUGAGGCAUUGGUUACAUGAAAACCGUGUGACAACCUUGGAAGUCUGAAAGAGCAGGAGAGAGGCUAAGCACACACAUAUUGUGAUUUUAAGAGUCUCAAGGUGAGAAGAAACAUCAGAAGCAGUUGAGAGACCAGGACGUGGGUCCUCAAAGGAUGAACAGAAGUUCUUUUGGAUAACAUUUUAAAAUGUUUCCUCCAGAGUUAUCUGCCUCAUUAACAAUGGUUUGAGUCUCAAGAGUCUCUCUUCGAUUUUACAAACAUGAUUUGUUGCUCUGCUAUAAAUGCAUGCUGCUCUAGUCCUUCAAUAAACCCACAACAUGUUUUCACCAUU